GGAAAACAUGCUGCAAAUUAGAGAUGGUGGUGUCUCGCUCUCCUGCAGAACUUCCCUUAGCCGUCUGAAGAAGACCGAUUGCAGGACAGAAAACGGCGACGAGUGCAAGGAGGGCUACAGACGCUGGGAAAUUGACAGAACUGGAAACCGGGAACCGGGUUGCUUGUUAUGGGCCAGAAAAAUACCCUGAUACUUGCCAUUGUUAAACAUUUAUGGAAGCUUAAGGAAUGUAUUUGGCUAGGCUAGGCAAAAAAAAAAAAAAAUCUUUGCAGAUCAAACAUUUUUUGCCUGGGGUGAAA
Long non-coding RNA from Gadus morhua (Atlantic cod), 299 nucleotides. RefSeq lists it as uncharacterized. The record is from RefSeq and is a predicted model, not a curated record. Lineage: Eukaryota; Metazoa; Chordata; Actinopteri; Gadiformes; Gadidae. The transcript is spliced from 3 exons.